UGGCUCAGUGGUAGAGUGCUUGCCUUGCAUGCAUGAGAGCCUGGGUUCGAUUCCCCAG
This 58-nucleotide transfer RNA is filed under the name Dipodomys ordii (Ord's kangaroo rat). It matches the Rfam family "tRNA", at positions 8 to 63 of the family's 71-position model. From Rfam's summary of the family: Transfer RNA (tRNA) molecules are approximately 80 nucleotides in length. Their secondary structure includes four short double-helical elements and three loops (D, anti-codon, and T loops). The record is from Rfam by way of RNAcentral. Lineage: Eukaryota; Metazoa; Chordata; Mammalia; Rodentia; Heteromyidae.